AUGGGACGAACACAAGGACACUUCAAAAUAAGGGUAGAUGUGAACCUAACGGUAUGUCUGAAGCUUUGAUUACCACUUGAGGAGAACAAGUGUGGCCCGAUCUUCCGGAAGUUUCUGGUAACUAUCGAUUUGGUGGAAACGAGAGACAUAUCAAUCCAACUUGCGAACAACACAAUUCGAAACCAUGCAAUUCUUUUUAUUUUUUUUGAUAUUUUUGUUUUACUAAGGAGCACUCAAGAAGUAACCACAGGAAAUUUGAGCUUAAACAAGUGAAAGACGUGGCCUGUGGAAUUUUUUGAAGAUUGUGAAAAAUAUGAAAAAAACAUUAGGAGGUGAAAACUCAAACUUCAGAGGCGAAUUUGGGGAUUCUAAAAUUGUCGAACCCGCCGUUGGCGAGGAUAGACGGAUCCAAAAAUUGUUUCUGAUCGAUUCGAUUUUGAUAUAUAGAACGUCAAAAUUGGAGUUCGUAUGCGAAAGUUAUGGCUGUUUUAUGACCGGACUCUGAAUUAGAGGACAAAACGGUCCGGAAGUGGGAAAAAAUUGCGGUGGUGGCUAAAAAUUGAUAGAAACAGUGGGAAAAAACACACAAACUGGACUGUAACAAGACUUAACCAGUAACAAGACCUCGACCAGGACACAAACUCAACACUACGGACUCUGAAACUGAAAUAUGCAAAGGCUAUGGCGCGGAUGGGUUGUAGGACAUGAAAACAAUAUGGCACUAGACUUAUGCGACGAACACAAGGACACUUGAAACUAAGGGUAGAUGUGAACCUAACGGCAUGUCUGAAGCAUUGAUUACCACUUGAGGACAACAAGUGUCCGAAAGUUUCUGGUAACUAUCGAUUUGGUGGAAACGAGAGACAUAUCAAUCCAACUUGUGAACAACACAAUUCGAAACCCUGCAAUUCUUUUUAUUUUUUUUUGUAUUUUUGUUUUACUAAGGAGCACUCAAGAAGUAACCACAGGAAAUUUGAGCUUAAACAAGUGAUAGACGUGGCCUGUGGAAUUUUUUGAAGAUUGUGAAAAAUAUGGAAAAAAUUAUUAGGAGGUGAAAACUCAAACUUCAGAGGCGAAUUUGGGGAUUCUAAAAUUAUCGAACCCACCGUUGGCGAGGAUAGAGAGAUCCAAAAAUUGUUUCUGAUCGAUUCGAUUUUGAUAUAUAGAACGUCAAAAUUGGAGUUCGUAUGCGAAAGUUAUGGCUGUUUUACGAACGGACUCUGAAUUAGAGGACAAAACGGUCCUGAAGUGGGAAAAGAUUGCGGUGGUGGCUAGAAAUUGAUGGAAACAGUGAGAAAAAACACACAAACUGGACUGUAACAAGACCUAACCAGUAACAAGACCUCGACCAGGAUACAAACUCAACACUACGGACUCUGAAACUAAAAUAUGCAAAGGCUAUGGCGCGGAUGGGUUGUAGGACAUGAAAACAAUAUGGCACUAGACUUAUGGGACGAAAACAAGGACACUUCAAAAUAAGGGUAGAUGUGAACCUAACGGUAUGUCUGAAGCUUUGAUUACCACUUGAGGAGAACAAGUGUGGCCCGAUCUUCCGGAAGUUUCUGGUAACUAUCGAUUUGGUGGAAACGAAAGACAUAUCAAUCCAAAUUGCGAACAACACAAUUCGAGACCAUGCAAUUCUUUUAAUUUUUUUUGAUAUUUUUGUUUUACUAAGGAGCACUCAAGAAGUAACCACAGGAAAUUUGAGCUUAAACAAGUGAAAGACGUGGCCUGUGGAAUAUUUUGAAGAUUGUGAAAAAUAUGGAAAAAAACAUUAGGAGGUGAAAACUCAAACUUCAGAGGCGAAUUUGGGGAUUCUAAAAUUGUCGAACCCACCGUUGGCGAGGAUAGACGGAUCCAAAAAUUGUUUCUGAUCGAUUCGAUUUUGAUAUAUAGAAUGUCAAAAUUGGAGUUCGUAUGCGAAAGUUAUGGCUGUUUUAUGAACGGACUCUGAAUUAGAGGACAAAACGGUCCGGAAGUGGGAAAAAAUUGCGGUGGUGGCUAGAAAUUGAUAGAAAUAGUGGGAAAAAACACACAAACUGGACUGUAACAAGACCUAACCAGUAACAAGACCUCGACCAGGACACAAACUCAACACUACGGACUCUGAAACUGAAAUAUGCAAAGGCUAUGGCGCGGAUGGGUUGUAGGACAUGAAAACAAUAUGGCACUAGACUUAUCGGACGAACACAAGGACACUUCGAACUAAGGGUAGAUGUGAACCUAAUGGUAUGUCUGAAGCUUUGAUUACCACUUGAGGAGAACAAGUGUGGCCCGAUCUUCCGGAAGUUUCUGGUAACUAUCGAUUUGGUGGAAACGAGAGACAUAUCAAUCCAACUUGCGAACAACACAAUUCGAAACCAUGCAAUUCUUUUUAUUUUUUUUGAUAUUUUUGUUUUACUAAGGAGCACUCAAGAAGUAACCACAGGAAAUUUGAGCUUAAACAAGUGAAAGACGUGGCCUGUGGAAUUUUUUGAAGAUUGUGAAAAAUAUGAAAAAAACAUUAGGAGGUGAAAACUCAAACUUCAGAGGCGAAUUUGGGGAUUCUAAAAUUGUCGAACCCGCCGUUGGCGAGGAUAGACGGAUCCAAAAAUUGUUUCUGAUCGAUUCGAUUUUGAUAUAUAGAACGUCAAAAUUGGAGUUCGUAUGCGAAAGUUAUGGCUGUUUUAUGACCGGACUCUGAAUUAGAGGACAAAACGGUCCGGAAGUGGGAAAAAAUUGCGGUGGUGGCUAAAAAUUGAUAGAAACAGUGGGAAAAAACACACAAACUGGACUGUAACAAGACUUAACCGGUAACAAGACCUCGACCAGGACACAAACUCAACACUACGGACUCUGAAACUGAAAUAUGCAAAGGCUAUGGCGCGGAUGGGUUGUAGGACAUGAAAACAAUAUGGCACUAGACUUAUGCGACGAACACAAGGACACUUGAAACUAAGGGUAGAUGUGAACCUAACGGCAUGUCUGAAGCAUUGAUUACCACUUGAGGACAACAAGUGUCCGAAAGUUUCUGGUAAGUAUCGAUUUGGUGGAAAUGAGAGACAUAUCAAUCCAGUUUGCGAACAACUCGAUUCGAAACCCUACAAAUCCCUUUUUUGAUAUUUUUCUUUUACUUAGGAGCACUCAAGAAGUAACCACAGGAAAUUUGAGCUUAAACAAGUGAAUUACGUGGCCUGUGGAAUUUUAUGAAAAUUGUGAAAAAUAUGAAAAAAAACUUUAGGAGGUGAAAACUCAAACUUUAGAGGAAAAUUUGGGGAUCCUAUAAUUGUUGAACCCGCCGUUGGUGGCGAUAGACAGAUCCAAAAUUUUUUUCUGAUCGAUUUUGAUAUAUAGAACGUCAAAAUUGGAGUUCGUAUGCGAAAGUUAUGUCUGUUUUACGAACGGACUCUGAAUUACAGGACAAAACGGUCCGAAAGUGGGAAAAGAUUGCGGUGGUGGCUAGAAAUUGAUGGAAACAGUGAGAAAAAACACACAAACUGGACUGUAACAAGACCUAACCAGUAACAAGACCUCGACCAGGACACAAACUCAACACUACGGACUCUGAAACUGAAAUAUGCAAAGACUAUGGCGCGGAUGGGUUGUAGGACAUGAAAACAAUAUGGCACUAGACUUAUGGGACGAACACAAGGACACUUCAAACUAAGGGUAGAUGUGAACCUAACGGUAUGUCUGAAGCUUUGAUUACCACUUGAGGAGAACAAGUGUGGCUCGAUUUUCCGAAAGUUUCUGGUAACUAUCGAUUUGGUGGAAACGAGAGACAUAUCAAUCCAACUUGCGAACAACACAAUUCGAAACCCUGCAAUUCUUUUUAUUUUUUUUUGUAUUUUUGUUUUACUAAGGAGCACUCAAGAAGUAACCACAGGAAAUUUGAGCUUAAACAAGUGAUAGACGUGGCCUGUGGAAUUUUUUGAAGAUUGUGAAAAAUAUGGAAAAAAUUAUUAGGAGGUGAAAACUCAAACUUCAGAGGCGAAUUUGGGGAUUCUAAAAUUAUCGAACCCACCGUUGGCGAGGAUAGAGAGAUCCAAAAAUUGUUUCUGAUCGAUUCGAUUUUGAUAUAUAGAACGUCAAAAUUGGAGUUCGUAUGCGAAAGUUAUGGCUGUUUUACGAACGGACUCUGAAUUAGAGGACAAAACGGUCCUGAAGUGGGAAAAGAUUGCGGUGGUGGCUAGAAAUUGAUGGAAACAGUGAGAAAAAACACACAAACUGGACUGUAACAAGACCUAACCAGUAACAAGACCUCGACCAGGAUACAAACUCAACACUACGGACUCUGAAACUAAAAUAUGCAAAGGCUAUGGCGCGGAUGGGUUGUAGGACAUGAAAACAAUAUGGCACUAGACUUAUGGGACGAAAACAAGGACACUUCAAAAUAAGGGUAGAUGUGAACCUAACGGUAUGUCUGAAGCUUUGAUUACCACUUGAGGAGAACAAGUGUGGCCCGAUCUUCCGGAAGUUUCUGGUAACUAUCGAUUUGGUGGAAACGAAAGACAUAUCAAUCCAAAUUGCGAACAACACAAUUCGAGACCAUGCAAUUCUUUUAAUUUUUUUUGAUAUUUUUGUUUUACUAAGGAGCACUCAAGAAGUAACCACAGGAAAUUUGAGCUUAAACAAGUGAAAGACGUGGCCUGUGGAAUAUUUUGAAGAUUGUGAAAAAUAUGGAAAAAAACAUUAGGAGGUGAAAACUCAAACUUCAGAGGCGAAUUUGGGGAUUCUAAAAUUGUCGAACCCACCGUUGGCGAGGAUAGACGGAUCCAAAAAUUGUUUCUGAUCGAUUCGAUUUUGAUAUAUAGAAUGUCAAAAUUGGAGUUCGUAUGCGAAAGUUAUGGCUGUUUUAUGAACGUACUCUGAAUUAGAGGACAAAACGGUCCGGAAGUGGGAAAAAAUUGCAGUGGUGGCUAGAAAUUGAUAGAAAUAGUGGGAAAAAACACACAAACUGGACUGUA
This 4946-nucleotide long non-coding RNA is filed under the name Sorghum bicolor (sorghum). RNAcentral describes it as "long non-coding RNA (SBIC_LNC010530)". The record is from RNAcentral. Lineage: Eukaryota; Viridiplantae; Streptophyta; Magnoliopsida; Poales; Poaceae.